RNAcentral lists this ribosomal RNA (253 nucleotides) under uncultured bacterium. RNAcentral describes it as "partial 16S ribosomal RNA". It matches the Rfam family "Bacterial small subunit ribosomal RNA", at positions 524 to 776 of the family's 1533-position model. The record is from RNAcentral.
UACGAGAGGCCCAAACGUUAUUCGGAAUUACUGGGCUUAAAGAGCUCGUAGGCGGUUUGUCGCGUCUGCCGUGAAAGUCCGGGGCUCAACUCCGGAUCUGCGGUGGGUACGGGCAGACUAGAGUGAUGUAGGGGAGACUGGAAUUCCUGGUGUAGCGGUGAAAUGCGCAGAUAUCAGGAGGAACACCGAUGGCGAAGGCAGAUCUCUGGGCCGUAACUGACGCUGAGGAGCGAAAGCGUGGGGAGCGAACAGG